This is a long non-coding RNA of Mus musculus (house mouse), 970 nucleotides long. RefSeq annotates it as predicted gene, 53395. The transcript has 6 exons. The record is from RefSeq and is a predicted model, not a curated record. Lineage: Eukaryota; Metazoa; Chordata; Mammalia; Rodentia; Muridae.
GAUUACCCAGCAUGGAGAUCUCGGAACAAGGCUGCUUGUUUACAGUGGAUGUAAUGAGGUUUCUGUGCUAGAGUUCAACUCCUUUUAGGAUUCUGAACAAAGAAAGGGAGCAUUGGAAGAGCCCUUCAAGUUACACCAUAAAUUGGACUUGCUGCCAAAAUCGGGAAGAAUCUAAGGCCUUGACUCGGUAGGUUGAGAGGAUCUUCCUUUGAUCAAGCAGCAGACAGGAACACAGUCCUAGGCAGCAUUUGACUGAAGCAGGAUUGACUACAUUGGCUCAACAUUCCCCACUACAGAUAUGGCAAGUGGAUAUGAGAUGAAAAAGACAACAGAAUAAAAGCUAAUGCUGACUGCUCAAGCACGGAUGACAUGGAAAUUGAUGCAAUUACUCUGGGUGGAAAGAAGAAAAAACAGACAGCAAGUCAAUGAUGACUCUACCAAGACUGCAGAGACAGGAGGCUUCGUAAGGAAUUGAAUUCCUUUUCCAUUGAGGAUGGACAAUAAGAGGUUUAUUCAGCCACUCAAGACCAUGUUGUUUGAAAUGGAGAACGGAAGCAUUUUCUUUCACUUUAAUUAGCAAAGAGGAGAAAGAUGCUCUGCUGUUCCCUGACUUCUCAUGGCCUGAAAAGGAGCUUUAAAUUCUAAACUGGCUAUAAGCCUGGAAUUCCUCAUUUGGAUUCUGCAAUGUGGAAGCCCAGUUCUGAGAAGCAGAAGAAAAUAGAACAAGACAGAAAGUGUUUGUGAUGAAUAAGAUUGGAUACAUGCACACUGAUAUCUCAUACUUGCUCUUCUUUUAAAUAGCAUUUGUCUUUGAGUGCCUGAGACUCCAUCUUUCUGAGCUUUAAAUUCUAAACUGGCUAUAAGCCUGGAAUUCCUCAUUUGGAUUCUGCAAUGUGGAAGCCCAGUUCUGAGAAGUUGAUGCUGUCAUGUUUACCCUGAGCCAUGAAGAUAGAGGAACAUCACACUCUGG